GAAAACAUUUCUACAUUUAGUUCUGUGAUUAAAUGUUCAAUAAGAAAAUAUUAGACACUUUUAUAUCUAGUAUCAGAUGCAGAUUAUUGUAGCUAUUAAACUGUAUUAUGUCACAGUUGAGUUCUGGACUCUGAUUGGUCAGAAGAUGUUGAUUAAUUCUUUAUAACAGCAGCUCUGACUGUAGUGCAGGUUUAUAUUAAUGCACUUAUUUGUUUCUAUAGUAACAGCUUGUUUACAAGGACGUGUACAGCAGAUGGGACACAUAAACUGGUUAAAAGGACUGAAGGCAGGCGAGAACCAGCAGAACCAACAGGAGAGAAUGAGAGCUCAUGACUGAUGAUGAAGAUGUUGAAGAGAAUGAUGAAGAUAUUGAUGGUCAGGAGCAGAAUGGUAUUAGUGCAGAUAUCACCUCCCUCUUCAGUUUAUAUAGCUGGUGAGAGGGGUGGGAGAGUGUGGUCUGGGUGUUUAAGUGACCAAAAAUUUCCACUUUGACUGAGAUUAAAAAAAGAAAUCCUCUUUCACAGGAAACCCAACUGUGGUUUUUACCUACAACGAGGAAGAAGUGAAUAUUUAACACCUUGUAAUCAAACACAUCUCACACUAAUCUAUUAAACUCAUCAAAUAAAAUGAAAUUAAAUAAA
This is a long non-coding RNA of Tachysurus fulvidraco (yellow catfish), 641 nucleotides long. RefSeq lists it as uncharacterized. Lineage: Eukaryota; Metazoa; Chordata; Actinopteri; Siluriformes; Bagridae. The record is from RefSeq and is a predicted model, not a curated record. The transcript has 2 exons.